AAGGAGUUAGUUAAAAUAUAACAUUAGAGUGUCAAUCUAAAAUAACUAAAAUUAGUACACCUUG
This 64-nucleotide transfer RNA is filed under the name Chorthippus parallelus. RNAcentral's name for it is "transfer RNA-Asp". The record is from RNAcentral. Lineage: Eukaryota; Metazoa; Arthropoda; Insecta; Orthoptera; Acrididae. RNAcentral also lists the same sequence under 3 other names.